Molecule: long non-coding RNA, 3461 nt
Filed under: Sorghum bicolor (sorghum)
Lineage: Eukaryota; Viridiplantae; Streptophyta; Magnoliopsida; Poales; Poaceae
Description: long non-coding RNA (SBIC_LNC003746)
Rfam family: MIR5565 microRNA precursor family (bases 3068-3171)
Source: RNAcentral
AUACUUAAGCCUCAUCCACUGAACGAAACCCUAAAGGUCUCACAUACUUCACUCCUGUGCUCCUCGUGGCUCCUUUAGGGAAUAGCCGCCGCCGCAUCCACCGUCGCCGCUCCUUCAUUGCCACAGCCGCUGCAGCCCACCGUACCUUACUACCUCUACAGAUCGCCGGUCGAGGCAAAGGGCACACGAGGUCGUCGGUCUCCCUCCCUCCCAGGAAGAUCCCCUCCCUCCCAGGACGCGUCUCCCAUGCACAAGUCACGGAUGAGUGUCGGCGGCUCUCACAGGUCGCCUGAGAGGAGACGAUGGGUCUCAAAGACAUGCUGGGUCGAAACCCUAGCGAGAUAAGCAAUCACGCCCCCCCUUUUGGUCCUCUCCUCUCUGUCUGUAGAUUGAGGUUGUGUUGUCUAGUUAAUUGUUGUUCUAGAUCUGGCAUCAUUGGUAUACUCGUGCAUACUUAUAAGUGGUCUACUGGUUAUGCCUCAUAGGCUUGUUAAUUUGCCAUUUACCCUACUAGAUUUGCAUGAUAAUUAGGAGGAAUUUUGGAUGGUAGGCAGCAUGUUCAGUUCAGGCUACAUCUCGUGUGCAGCAAAAUUUUAGAUGUAGAGGCUUAGGAGGAAAUGUGUUAUUAAAAUAUGCCUUAGCAGUCUACUGUGUGAUUGGUUGAACUUGAAACCUCAAAAAAAAUAAGUUGUAGAUAAGCAUCAGGUUCUAUAUUACAAAUUUAUGUGCAAUGUUUUUCUGCUGCAAGAAUCUAAGUCUAAGUUCUGAAAACAACCCAUUAUUCUGUCAAAAUGGUGCUGAUUGUGGACUAUUCUGUUGUCUUAAUAGGUUUCAUACAAGUGAAAAUGUCAAAACUUUCGGACUCCUAACUCAGAGAAUAUGGCUGGUGGCUCUCUAGAGGAUGUGCGCUACUGCUGAUUUAGUUUAAUUUGUGCUCUAUGUGACACCGUGCUUAAAUUACAAGGUGCGUGUUCACUUUAUCUGCUGUCUGUUCUGCAUUUCUAGCAAGGAGAAGUAAAACAUUCAGAAUGCUACUUUUGAUGGUGCUCCUCUGUGGACAUGGAUCCAAUCCCAUAGGCUAAUGAUAUAUAUAUAUCGGGUGUCCGAUCCGUGACUUCAUCUUCAGACGUGGCUCGCGCUCCUCCAUUGGUUUGCGUCAUUUCCCAUCCAGAGUUCAGACGUCGUGCCUUAUCCUCACCCACUUGCCACCAUCGCACGGCCAACUCUAUGCGGUGCGCCCCCUGCUCGAAUAGCAAUGAGACGCUCAUUGCCACUCCCUCUCGAGCCGCUCGCCGGCGCCGGCGCCGCCCCCGCCCGAGCCAUGCGCCCCCACUCACGGUAGCAACGAGUCAUUCAUUGGCGCACCCCUCUUGAGCUGCUCACGUGGCGUCGCCCUCGCUAAAGCUGCUUCUUCCCUGACCCUCGCGUCCUCCUCUAUGGUGGCUCUUUCCUGCACCCCAGCGUGCUCCUUCCCUACCUCAGCGGCGCCCCUCCCUCUCCCCUCACCGGCGUCCUCCCCACAAGGAGCUCUCGACGCCUGCAGAUCUGGCAGCCAUGGCGCUCCCCACACCACGCUCUCUUCUCUCGUCCAAUGUUGCAAUUGUAUCUUUCAAUUGUUUUAGAACUUCAAAGGUAUGUUGUAGUAGAAUCAAUGGAUAUUACAAAAGUAGAUCAGGAUAUUCGCACUUUUUGUUGAUAUGUUGCAAGUGUUUCAAAGGAUUGUUGCAACAACACUUUUGUUCAAACUGUUUCACCUGUUUCUACACAAUGUUGCAAUCGUUUCUGAUCUGGAUGUUUUUAUAUGCCUAAAUUGCUCCAAUCCUAUGUUGUAGCAGUUAUUCUAUGUUAUUUGCAAGUGUUUUUAAUCGAUUAUUGUUUCAUACACUUCAUAGUAAUGUUGCAAUAAUAUGUUCCAAAUAUUUCAGUCCCUUCAACCUAAUGUUGCAGCGGUUGUUCUGUGUUGUUGCAAGUGUUAUAUUUAAGUUUUUUAUGUUGUUAGGUCAAAGAGGGGCAAGUCGGGCGGACGAGAGCGCAUGGCUCGCUAGGGGCCUAGUGGACGGAGGUGCUAGGGGGCAACAGAUGCAAUUGCUGUGGCCAAGGGUGCUAGGACGUGCUCAUCGCGCAGGUGUUGUGGCUAGGGGACAUUUGGGGCGUGCUGGUCACGCGUGGGGCGAACGUGGCAGGUUGUGGGGCGCACCUCGGACUAGGCUAGGAACAUGCGCGCGUGUCAGGUUCGGGAAGUGCACGCGAGGGCUAAGCGGUUUGAGGGGCGUCCGGAUGCGAGGCGUGCUCCGGACGUUCGGGUUCUAGAUAUUUCGAAUCCCAUGCCGCAGGCUUGGAGCACCUAUGUGUUUUUCGGAUUUUGUGAAGAUGGAGAAUGGGGAAGGAAUAGAAACAAGAAUUGGGUCCAUGGUGUACAAGUGCAGGAGAAAAAGAAAAGGUCAAAAUGGAUUUUGGCAAAACCUAGGGCUCCUGUUGCAAAACUUCCUUUUUUUUUCCUUUUUUUGCAUGGGCCUCUUCCUGAUGGGCCUCAGAUCCAGCCUGGACCGAGUGGGCCGAAUCUGGUCCAUGGCGGACCUUUUAUCCUUUUUCAUUUCGAUUUUCCUUUUCUUUUUGCAAAAAUCUAAAAUUCAUAGAAAAACACAGAAAAAUCAUAAAAAUGCCAUGAGAGAAGAUAGAGUUAGGGUUUUAUUUAGAUAAAAUAUAAAAUGAGUGGAAUAAUCUUGUGUUGAAUUCGAUUAGGACUUAAAUUCAACUCAUCUUUUAAUCUAUUCAAAAAAAUAUUUAUCUAAGAAAAUUCCCUUUACCAUGGCUGGGAGACGUGGCUGCCCAGGCAUUGUCGUCGUUGUCGGUGCAAGAGCGGGUGCGGUCACCUAGGCACAGUUGUGCGGCCGCUUGGCUCAGCUGUGCGGGAGAGAGGAGUGGGCGCGAGCAGGAGGCUGAUGGCCAUGGGGCUGCGAGCCUGCGACCCCCACUUCUCUAACCAAACACCAAAAUGAAAUGGGAUAUUGUGUCUCACUUGGCCAUUGCCAUGUCCCCAACCAAACACAUUAGGCUUUGUUUGGAUGUUGUCGGAUUCACCUCAAUCCACAUGUGUUGGAGUGGAUUGGGGUGGAAUUUAGGUUCCACUCCAACCCACCCCAAUACAUGUGGAUUGAUGUGAAUCCGACUACAUCCAAACAAAGCCUUACUGUUUUUCGCGAACGGGGUUUAGGGCCCGUGUUUCAUUAAGACGAAAACCAAACACAUUACUCAAAGGUAAUAUAUCAACUUCUUGACGUUUUUCUAACAGAGGAGUGGCCAACCAUGUAGGACGCGAACCCCCACACAGUGAUGACCAGAGCCAAGAUCUUGAACCCGCUCAUGGGGUCAUGGAACCAGAUCACCGCGGCGAUGCUCGUGAGGGGCACCCUGACAGCGUUCAGCACUCCGGCGAGUACGGUGGACGCCAGGAACAGCAC